Long non-coding RNA from Ictalurus punctatus (channel catfish), 667 nucleotides. Lineage: Eukaryota; Metazoa; Chordata; Actinopteri; Siluriformes; Ictaluridae. The record is from Ensembl.
GUAACAGCUACACUUCUUUUCUUCUUUCCGACAUAUGUGCUAAUGAUAUGCAUGUGUACUGUACAUUAUAAUAUACAUAUGUAACAAUAGCAUUAUAUGCUUUAAAAAUAUGACACUCAUGUAUAUUUCUUCUGCAGUGCGAUAAGAGCAACAUGCCAGGGUGAAGGCAAGGGUGAAGGCAAGGGUGAAAGGCAAGGAAGUGGACUUAUCAAAGCAACAGUGUUGUUAAUUUGAAGAACAAUGGCAGAUACAAACCCAGAUAAAAUCCCUCAGUGCGAAAAGAGCAAACCAUGCCACGGUGAAGGCAAGGGUGAAGGCAAGGGUGAAGGCAAGGGAAAAGGACCAGGACAAGGGCAAGGUCAAGGCAAGGGUCAGGGUCAUGGUCACGGACACGGUCACGGACCUGGAAAGGAUGGAAAGGAUGGCAAAGGCAAACCAUAAUGAAAGGAGCUGAAUGAAGAGACGUCUGAAGUCUGUCUGAUGCUGUUGUUUUUUUUCUUGCACCAUGACUAAUAAACUAAAACAUGUAUAAUUAUACCACAUAUGUUUGUUUUUAAUUAAAUGAUCAUCAAUAAAGUGUUUGGUAUCAAAGAAUGGCUUUUAGAAUCGUUGACUCCUUAAGCUUUGAAAUUCCAAAUAUAAAACGAAAUGAAGUAGCUGUGGCAAG